ACUUGGGGAUCAAGAGUCUUUUAAAAUAGUUCACUGUGGGCCAUCCUUUUCAUGUUCUAUUGCCUUUCCAAGAUGAUCCCCUUCAAAUCCUUCCUCUUCCAAUAUCUCAAUCUCCACUUCCUUUUUCCUCCUGAUUUUUGUUAGUUUCAAUCUUCAAUGACUCCAACGAAGCAAUUAGCCCAAUGUUUGGGAAGAAAUCAUCUAGAAAUUCCUACCCCCAAGGUUCGCAAAAUCAAGCCUCACAUGGAAGAAUGGAAUACAAAGCUUAGAAAUCUUCCUCAACAAAUAACCAAGGAAGACAUUAUGCAACCUUCCUCAUACUCUCCCUCUCCUCAGCCAUGUCUAUCAAGGGUAGCUUUCUCAAAGCAGAUAGUCAUAAUUGGAAAAAAAUAGAUUUUAAUUUCUUAGACCGAGAAGGGUUCUCCAUUAGAAGAAAUUGAAAAAGAUGGGUUGGGAGUAUAUGUGCUCCCUAGAUAUCUCAAUCUACCCCAAACUCGUUCAAGAGUUCUAUAGAAAUGUUAAAUUCAUGAUUGGGGAUUUGAUGUCCAAAGUAAAAUCAUUGGUCCUAGGUUUAAUUUUGAUGAAUAACAAAAUAUUUGAGUAUAUGACUAUUACUAAUGAGUUGUUU
This 628-nucleotide long non-coding RNA is filed under the name Elaeis guineensis (African oil palm). RNAcentral describes it as "long non-coding RNA (EGUI_LNC041935)". The record is from RNAcentral. Lineage: Eukaryota; Viridiplantae; Streptophyta; Magnoliopsida; Arecales; Arecaceae.